GCAUUUCUAGUUUUCUCAAAAUCAAACAAUCUUGAAGUCCAAAGAGGGUUUUGCAUUCUCGAAAGAGUUUCUGCUAAGAAUCGCCCUUGCGCAUCCUAGUGUCUCCUUCAAAACUGCUUAUAUUAAAAGUGAGGAUGACCUGCUUUGCACACGUGCUUCUCCUUCUCCUUGCCAUUGUUGUCUAGUGGGUUUGGGAUUCAUCUGAGUUCCCUUAACAAAUUGAAUGCAAGUGUUGGUGCAUUCAAGCUUUAAGGAUACAUCUCAGGUCCUGAUGUUUACACAGUGAAGAUAAACCUGUGAAUUAUGAGUUCAAGAAAAAGAGGUGCAGGGCCCAGAGUUGCAAAGCUACACUUGAGCUUCCUUCCCCACAGCCAAAGAAACUGACUGGAGAGUGCACUGUCCGGAGAGAGAUUCGAUCUUCACAGAAUAUUAUCGUGAGUCCAGAUUCCUCGGUCAGAUUGAAAUUUCAAGUCGGUCAAUUGAUAGAUCCCUUGCUCAUUGCACAUUUGGUGUAAACUGGAAAUCCAGAAGCUCUGCGCGACCCCUUUCAUACAAUGCCAGAAACUAGAACUGUAAGGAGACUGCAGCAUUCUACAAAAGCUAUCUGCUCAGAGCUUCCACAGCAGUCGUCCCAUCAGUGUGAUCAAUCUUCCACCCAAAGUUGUGGUGACGGUGUAUUAUCUGAUGAAAGUGUGAAAAUGAAACUUGUUAACAUCUGGAAUAGCAAAUUACAAACUCAAGGGGAGUGCUGGGAGUGCACAAGUACACACAAUUGGUAGUCAAAAGAAGAAUUUGCACCAACAAAAACUCAAAAUUUCUUAGAUUUUGUGAUAAAAUGGAGGGACUUUCGUCCAGAGAUUACAGUUGAGUACCUUAGCUAUAUCUCAGAUGUUUUUGUGACUUCUUCUCUAUUUUGUUAAGAUGAUGGACUUUUACCUUUUCUAAUAUGAGAUGCAGAGCGAUACUGGAACAGAGAAUCUUAAGAAUUAGGAUACUAUACUCAAUGUCACUUCUGGCGUCUUGCAUUUUGUUGGUGAUUCAUUAGUUCCUGACACCAUUAAUAAAAAUUGCCUGGAGGGUGCCAAAGCUCUCCAACAGGUUGAUAAGAAGGUUAUUCCAAUU
Molecule: long non-coding RNA, 1122 nt
Organism: Solanum dulcamara
Lineage: Eukaryota; Viridiplantae; Streptophyta; Magnoliopsida; Solanales; Solanaceae
Exons: 7
Source: RefSeq, a predicted model, not a curated record